AAUGAAGCGCCUGAAUGGAAAGGGUUAUCUUGAUAGGAUAAAUGAUAUAAUCUAAGUAUUAUUUUCGUUA
RNAcentral lists this transfer RNA (70 nucleotides) under Pielomastax zhengi. Its description in RNAcentral is "tRNA-Ile". The record is from RNAcentral. Lineage: Eukaryota; Metazoa; Arthropoda; Insecta; Orthoptera; Episactidae.